GACGAACGCUGGCGGCGUGCCUAAUACAUGCAAGUUGAGCGCUGAAGGUUGGUACUUGUACCAACUGGAUGAGCAGCGAACGGGUGAGUAACGCGUGGGGAAUCUGCCUUUGAGCGGGGGACAACAUUUGGAAACGAAUGCUAAUACCGCAUAAAAACUUUAAACACAAGUUUUAAGUUUGAAAGAUGCAAUUGCAUCACUCAAAGAUGAUCCCGCGUUGUAUUAGCUAGUUGGUGAGGUAAAGGCUCACCAAGGCGAUGAUACAUAGCCGACCUGAGAGGGUGAUGGGCCACAUUGGGACUGAGACACGGCCCAAACUCCUACGGGAGGCAGCAGUAGGGAAUCUUCGGCAAUGGACGAAAGUCUGACCGAGCAACGCCGCGUGAGUGAAGAAGGUUUUCGGAUCGUAAAACUCUGUUGGUAGAGAAGAACGUUGGUGAGAGUGGAAAGCUCAUCAAGUGACGGUAACUACCCAGAAAGGGACGGCUAACUACGUG
RNAcentral lists this ribosomal RNA (497 nucleotides) under uncultured bacterium. RNAcentral describes it as "partial 16S ribosomal RNA". It matches the Rfam family "Bacterial small subunit ribosomal RNA", at positions 28 to 507 of the family's 1533-position model. The record is from RNAcentral.